UGACAUUACCUUUAGAAGAAGCACCGGCUAACUCCGUGCCAGCAGCCGCGGUAAUACGGAGGGUGCAAGCGUUAAUCGGAAUUACUGGGCGUAAAGCGUGCGUAGGCGGUUAUUUAAGUCAGAUGUGAAAGCCCCGGGCUUAACCUGGGAACUGCAUUUGAUACUGGGUAACUAGAGUUUAAUAGAGGAGAGUGGAAUUUCAGGUGUAGCGGUGAAAUGCGUAGAGAUCUGAAGGAACACCAGUGGCGAAGGCGACUCUCUGGAUUAAAACUGACGCUGAGGUACGAGAGCGUGGGUAGCAAACAGGAUUAGAUACCCUGGUAGUCCACGCCGUAAACGAUGUCAACUAGCCGUUGGGCCUUUAUACAGGUUUAGUGGCGCAGCUAACGCAUUAAGUUGACCGCCUGGGGAGUACGGCCGCAAGGUUAAAACUCAAAUGAAUUGACGG
This 448-nucleotide ribosomal RNA is filed under the name uncultured bacterium. Its description in RNAcentral is "bacterial SSU rRNA". It matches the Rfam family "Bacterial small subunit ribosomal RNA", at positions 470 to 916 of the family's 1533-position model. The record is from RNAcentral.